UUGCUUCAGCAGCUCAUAUAUUAAAAUUGAAACUAUCAGAGAAGAUGAGCGUGGCCCCUGGGCAAGGAUGACACAUAAAUUUGUGAAAAAAUGACUACAGAU
Small nuclear RNA from Trichechus manatus latirostris (Florida manatee), 102 nucleotides. The record is from RefSeq and is a predicted model, not a curated record. Lineage: Eukaryota; Metazoa; Chordata; Mammalia; Sirenia; Trichechidae.